CUCUGUUCUCUUUGUGACUUGAUGGGAGAUGGCAUUUGGAAAACAAGUGCAGAACCACAAGUUAGAAAAUAGAAGACAUGGCUGAAAGAUUGCAGCUGGGUGGCUUGAACCUAUGGCAGAUUCAACCAGCAGCCAUCACAAGCAGAUGUCCUGUUGUGGAG
Molecule: long non-coding RNA, 161 nt
Filed under: Dasypus novemcinctus (nine-banded armadillo)
Lineage: Eukaryota; Metazoa; Chordata; Mammalia; Cingulata; Dasypodidae
Description: lncRNA (ENSDNOG00000051915.1)
Source: RNAcentral